CACCCUUUAUUUUAACCAGAAGAAAGAAACGCGUUAGUCCAGUACAUCAAAAUUAUAUCCGCGAAAUUGAGGGGCGAUAGGAAAUAAUAAAUGGCAAUUGCACAUUUUACAGAAUUGAAACGUUUACACGAGCAUUAUUAGGCCCGAACUAAAACGAUUGAUUGCCCUCAAACUAAUUCAGUGCAUUUUAAAUACGACAUUUCCAAGAUUUGCAUGGGAUAAAAUGAAUAAUAGACGAGUGACGGGGAGAUAAAUAAUCCGCAAACAUGUUCAACGAUUAUUAUUAUUCAGAAAAUUAGUUAAAAUGCGGAAUUUUGAUUUUAGGUAACUUUAUUUAUCUCUAAACUCCACGCGACAGAAAAUAACGUAGAAAUAAAAGCCGUUCGCGCAAUGAGAUAAUUUGCCAGCGGGUUUUAAUAUAAUUGCAUAAUCGCUUCCGAAUUACUGACAAUACUACCGAUUAACCUUUGUGAGGCGGCUAGGAUACAUUUUCUAAUUAAUAAUCGAAAUAUUUACCAUGUAUAUUGUUGCGCAGAGACGAGGGGGGUGAAAAUCAUAAACUGAUGACAUUUCCAUGGUUCUAUUGUAGCCAGUGGAAGUGCAAAAUAAACAAUUCUUAACCAUUUAGAACUUCAAAAUACUAACGGCAUUAUAGUUACUUGCCUCUAGGUCGUUUGUACACGAGCACAUCGAUGACUGAAACAUUUGGAUGAGAGAUGUGUAGCUUCUGGUUGCGCCACUUCAAGAAAUUAAAGAAAUGCCCCUUCAGCUCGGAAUGCGGAGCCAGGUAUCCCGUUGUUACACGUGUGCUUCAUCUGGAAGUCAGCGGUCUUUGUGCACCUGCACCCGCUUCAGCCGAUGUAGAACUAAAAGCUGAGUGCAGUUUUAUAUUCAUUCGAGACGAAUUUCAAUGAGAGUGGUAAUGGGCGUCCUUCUUUUCUUCUGGACUCACUCACUCACGGACUCUGGGCUCAGCCACACCUCCGGGGAUUUAUUCUCCUCAUCCCAGUGAUUGACAGCAGGUGCCGGAAGCGGCGUUACCUUCAUGGUGACUGACAGGAGAGAAGACCAAUCUGCUGAUCUCACAAUUUUUUAGACCUUCAUAACUUUUGUAAUAUUCCACCAAUCGGAACAAAACUUGGUACGCUUGGAGAAGAGGAGAACAGCGAGUAAGCAGGGGGGAGGGACUAUAAAGCCAGAAAGUGGUGUGCCACACAGUCUCUUCAAGAUGGAGGAAGGCAGAGGGUCACGUUUCUCUGAGCUGUGAAUAACACUGAACACAUGUCUACUCAAAUAAGAUUCAAACUUCACACUAAAACACUGGGUGGCUAAUGCUGUGGUACGAAGCAGAAGAUAAUGGUGGAAGAUUGUGUUUACGACUAGAGGCCUGUGACUAGUGGUGCACCUCAAGGAUUAUUGCUGUUCGUCAUUUAUAUCAAUGAUCUGGAUGAGAAUGUACAUAACAUAUUUGCAUCUGGCCCGCAGUUGAAACUGUAAUCCCAUGAUCAGGGGAAAAGGUGGACGUAGAACAUUUAACAUUUGAUGUGCAGGAGGCGUGGCAAAACAGCCGAAAAAAGACGCCAGGUGUCACACUGACUGCUAUAAGAAAAACAAACAGACGGACAGGGGUGAGUCCGUAAUGGCCGUCUUGCAAGCAGCCUGUCAUGGCUCUUCUCUGUUUUUGUUGUUUUCAGUGUGUGUUAAAGGUAUGUUUUGGUGUUUCUGCGUAUGUUUUAUGUGGGAGAGGGUGCGGGGAAUAGGGGGAAACUUUUCUUGUUGUGUUGCAAUCCGUCUCGACGCCAGAGUUUCGAUCAUCCCGACGAGAGAGUCUGAACAUCGGGCCGUUGUCAGUGGGGAGUGUUGAUUACACUGUACUGGAUGUUAAUGUUGAAUUGUGUUGGUUGUUAUUGAAUCGUUGUUUUUGCAAUGUUGAUUCCACUGUAGUUGAUGCUUAUGUUAAAUUGUGUUAAAUGGUUGUGUUAAAUUAAAUCGUUAUUUUUGCACAAUAAAUGCGAAGUUGAUCUUAA
Leucoraja erinaceus (little skate) is the source of this 2027-nucleotide long non-coding RNA. RefSeq lists it as uncharacterized. The transcript has 5 exons. Lineage: Eukaryota; Metazoa; Chordata; Chondrichthyes; Rajiformes; Rajidae. The record is from RefSeq and is a predicted model, not a curated record.